GGUGAGGUCCCCGAUGGAGAGGAUCUUUUUUCUCUUUAUCUUUUUUUUCUUUUUUUUCUGUUGGAGUGGGAAGAGAGAUUUUUUUGGAGAGUGAGCGAGAGGGGCGCGUGUUGUCUGUCUACACGUGCCAGAGUGAGAGAGGUAUUUGUUGAGAGUUGAAAGAGAGAGUGAGUGGCGUGUAGUAGACCGUUGGGAGUGGAUCCC
RNAcentral lists this long non-coding RNA (204 nucleotides) under Lathyrus oleraceus (garden pea). RNAcentral describes it as "Pisum sativum (pea) long non-coding RNA (PSAT_LNC037888)". The record is from RNAcentral. Lineage: Eukaryota; Viridiplantae; Streptophyta; Magnoliopsida; Fabales; Fabaceae.